CAGUUCUCUGUCUGGGUUAACACUGUCUGAUUAGACCUCCCAGAGAUAAACCUGUGUUUACUCUAAGGAGAGUAUUAAGUUGAAGAGGCUUGAGCUUCCGUUCUUUCCAAGUGACUAUUUUAACAAGGACAGUCCAAAAAUAUGUCUUUAUAUUCACCUUGGUGCUCAAAUUAAGAUUAUUGAUAAAUGCAGUGUUACCUAAAUUGUCCCAAGGGAACAACAUUGUUGAAAUGUUGUGUAAGUAUAAGGGAAAUAUUGUUCUUUCCUCAAGAAGCUUAUGAUGCCACUCGUCACACAUUUGUCCAGCACUCACAAGUCAGUAUCCUUCACUAUGUUACAGGGGCUGGAAAUAAGAUGGCUCAGACUAGUCCAGAACCUGAAUUAGUUUAGUUUUUAAACCUGGUUGCAUGUUAGAAACGCUUAGGUAGCUUUUGGAAAAUAUUAAUUCCUAGAUGUCUGAUUCAGUGAUAGUGACUGACCUUCUGGAUUUGGGCCAGAAAAUGCUCUUAUUUUUCCACUAGUAGAGACCUAAUCUCCUAGCAUACUCCAGAUCUCAAUUCCUUACUUCAUUCCAGUGCUAUUAAAACCAGUGCUCUGGGGCCGGCCCCAUGGCCAAGUGGUUGAGUUUGCGUGCUUUGCUUCGGCGGCCCAGGAUUUUGCCAGUUCGAAUCCUGGUCUCAGACAUGGCACUGCCCACCAGGUCGUGCUGAGGCGGCAUCCCACAUGCCACAACUAGAAGGACCCACAACUGAAAAUACACAGCUAUGUACUGGAGGGCUUUGGGAGAAAAAGGAAAAAUAAAAUCUUUAAAAAAGAAACAAAACCCAGUGCUCUGUACCCUCAUGUUCUUGUUGGUUUGCUGUUAUCCUGGAAAGAUGGCCAUAUGAUUGAUUGUCUGCCUACUGAGCAUUCAGUUCUGCAUAAUACAAUGGUUGCCUAGCCAGACAUCUUUCUUCGCCAUUGAAGAGCAAUCAAGUGCCUAUCUUUUUAAACAGCAAAAUCUCCUCUUAAUUACUUGGUUCUUAGAUAGUUUCAUGUGUUCAGUCAGCAAAUACUGGGAACCUGUUAUGUGCUAGGCACAGUCUGGGUGCCGGGGAUAUACCAGUAAAUAACAAACUUUGUUCUCUGUUCUUGUGGAGUUUUACAUAUUUCCCACUGGAGGAGAAGGUACACAAAAAUAAUAUGCUGUCAGGUUGUGGUAAGUAUAAUGAAGAAAAAUAAGGUAGGGUAAGGAAUUAAGCCACUUUUUCUUUAAGGUUUAAGCACAUUUAUUUUCCUAGAAUUUAAUAAAUUACUUGCAUUCAAAGCCAUUAUUUUUUCCUUUCAGAUACAAGCUAAUGCUGGUGACUCCUAUCCUGGAGGUUGCCUUUUCUCUGAAAUUAGCUAUUAGAUCUUUGACAGUCUCCUCACUUUUUUCAGCAUACCAGAGCAUAGUACAAGAUGGUAAAGGACAUUAUAGAUUUUGAAAAUGUGCUUAAAUUUAGAUAUGUAUAGUUACCGUGGCUAUUAACAUACUGUUUUAACUAUUGUUGUCUUAUGAUGAAGCCUAAUAGUUAUUUUUUAUACUUAAUUCAUUUUUCCUUGUUUAAUAUUAUAUACAGAAAAGUAAAUAAAUAUUCAGUAAUGUACCUGUCACUUAGGUCAAGAAAUAAAUCAUUUUCAGCAACCUAGAAGCUCCCCUUCUCCAUGUGCCCUAUUGUGAUCAUAAUCCUCUCCCUUCUCGUUUUUGUAACUACCAACCUGACUUUUGUGAACAUCAUUUCCUUGUCUUAUGUUUAUAGUUUUACCUCUAUUUAUGCAUCCCUAAGUGAUAUACUUUAAUUUUGCUUGUGUGUGAACUUUGUUUAAUUAUACUCCAUAUUUUGUAUUUUGCCUUUUUUCUCUCAACAUUAUCUUGGAGAUUCAUCCAUGUGCUCUGUAGCUGGUAUUCCACUGAAUGAACAUAAUUUAACCAUUCUAUUAUUGAUGGACAUUUGGGUUAUUUCCACUUUUUGGCUAAUAUGAACACUGAACAUUUUUGUUCAUCUUUUCUGGUGUACUUGGGUAUUCUUUAGGACGUAUAUCAAGAACUGGACUUGCUGAGACAACGAGUGGCUGAGCCAUAACCUCCCUGGUAAGGUUUUUGUCCUAUACUCAAAAAAGAAAUGUGCCAAUGUUAUGUUGCAAACUUCAAGUUUGGGCAAGCCCAACAGCCAACGGAAAACAAAACGAUUAACAUCAGCCAUCACUACCAGGUCCCAGAAACGGUAAAUGUUGAUCUCUUCUUUCUCUUUUGUUACUCUAAAAUAUAAUUUUAAUUCUUACGUCAUUAAAAAAUUACUGUGAAUAACGUCAUAAUCAUACAUGACUUUGAAUCAUCAGUGACCUAUGCUGAUUGCUUUGAGAAAUCCUAAGAUGUACCUAGAUGUAGUACACUGCCUUCAGGGAGCUUAAAAUUCAGUGGAAAGGACAUGCCUAUGGUGGCUCCGAAGUAAGGCAUUGUGUGUCUAGUGCGGCC
This is a long non-coding RNA of Equus asinus (donkey), 2497 nucleotides long. NCBI's taxonomy places the organism in Eukaryota, Metazoa, Chordata, Mammalia, Perissodactyla, Equidae. The record is from Ensembl.